GACGAACGCUGGCGGCGUGCCUAAUACAUGCAAGUCGAACGCAGUGGGGACGGGUGCGUAACACGUGGGUAACCUCCCAUCAGAGGGGAUAACACUUGGCAACAGGUGCUAAACCGAUACUGAUGGAUGGACCCGCGGUGCAGUAGCCAGUUGGUGAGGUCACGGCCCACCAAGGCUACGAUGCAUAGCCGACCUGAGAGGGGGAUCGGCCACACUGGGACUGAGACACGGCCCAGACUCCUACGGGAGGCAGCAGUAGGGAAUAUUCGGCAAUGGACGAAAGCCUGACCGAGCAAUGCCGCGUGAGUGAAGAAGGUUUUCGGGUCGUAAAGCUCUGUUGUCAGAGAAGCGGUAUCUAACCAGAAAGCCACGGCUAACUACGUGCCAGCAGCCGCGGUAAUAC
RNAcentral lists this ribosomal RNA (403 nucleotides) under uncultured bacterium. RNAcentral's name for it is "partial 16S ribosomal RNA". It matches the Rfam family "Bacterial small subunit ribosomal RNA", at positions 28 to 526 of the family's 1533-position model. The record is from RNAcentral.